Non-coding RNA from Triticum urartu, 3038 nucleotides. Lineage: Eukaryota; Viridiplantae; Streptophyta; Magnoliopsida; Poales; Poaceae. The record is from RefSeq and is a predicted model, not a curated record.
CCACAAUUUCUUAACCUCCCCGUUAAACACCCCUCACAGAUUUUCCCGAUUAUUUCUCUUCACCAAAUCGUAGAUCAGAUCUGAGCUCUCUCGUCCUGGUUCCUCCGUCCUCACGGCGUCAUGACGGCGUCGACACUGCAGACCACACCGGAGUCCAUCGAACAUACACUGCCUCAAGUUAUUCCUUUCUCCCAAAUCUCCUCCGUGCAGCGCAGCGCCUAGAGUCGAGCGAAGGCUGCGUCCUCGGCGGCACUAGGAGAGGCCGGGGAUGAAGCCGGCGAGGCCCUCGUGGUUGGUGAGCAUGGCCCAGACGACGUCGAGCGGAGCGCCGACCCGCACCCGCGCGCGCACUAGCCGCCGGUUCUUCUUCGGUUCUUCCCCGACAGUUUCCGCACCUCCAUCUCGAACGCGUACUGCUCGUCCUGGCCCUCUUCCACCUCCCUGCCCCCUGCGGUCAUUAGAUCCUUCCCUUCGUAGGUGUCCAGUGUCCUCGCCGGCGACAUCGGGGGCGCUCUCGGAGGAGGACGAGGAGGAGGCCGGGAGGGGGGUUCCGUUGGGAAGGGGCGGGGCGAGAGACGAAGCGGAUGCGCGCGGGGCUGCAGAAAUUGGUGGUGGUGGCGACGGUCAGGAGGAGGCAGAGGCGGAGGCGGAGGCGGAGGCGGUGGGGGUGGGGGCGGUCGUGGGGAGACGAGGAGGAGGGGCAGCAGGAGGCGGUGGGUGGUAUGGCCAUAGCAGCGCCCCCUUUCUAUCGUAGAACAACCACACGGACGGCCGCCGUGCAACACUCCUUACCCUCGCCUCUGGCAUGGCCGCCGGGAUGCAAUUGCCUGCCUGGCCUUCCUACUACAACAACCCCCAGGAUGCAACCGCCGUGCAGCACUCCUCACUGUCAAUGCCGUCCACGGCGACCAUAGCCACUCCCUCACGCAUUGAAGAGGAUGUUCCUCCGUCGCUUCCCUUGCCAUCGAAGUUAUCGUUUCGUCGUCGUCCACUUCCGCAUGGUCUACAUCCUCACAGCUCCCUUUCCUCUCCUGCAAGAACCUAAGAUCUGAAGAUGUCACUGCAACUACAAGUGAAAGGAUCCAAGAUCCUCACCAACAUACUUGCUUGAUGCUUUACAAUUACUGCUACGCUUGUAGAUAUAUAGAUAUACUUGGCUUGAAGUUGAAUUUCUACUAGUGUUGUUGGCUUGUUGCUGUACUCUUCCAUGGGUAUUGUCCAAUAGUAAUAUUCCAUGGGUAAUGUUCAAUAGCAUUUAUGGAACAGGAAAGAAUGCUAUUUAUAAAAUUAACUGACCAGGAUACUAAAGAUGUCUUGCUUGUGCUGCACAUACACAGGUAGUUUGUUUCUUUCUGUAACUAAAACGUUGAGUUUACUGAAUCUUGUGUCUUUCUGUAACUGAAACGUUGCGUUUACUGAAUCUUGUUUCUUUCUGUACACUGGCUAGUGAUCCUCGGCUGUACAUAUACUGCAGUAGUUUGUGUCUUUCUAUGACUGAGAGAAGUAGACAAACAUCAUCGGCUGCACUAAAUAGUGUUAUUUCGUACGAAUGUAUUGAUGUUUCCCUGUCAAGUUGGCCUAUGUGGGUGUCAAGUUGGCCUAUGUGGGUGUAUGCCAUGGCCAGGGACUGGUGUCAACUGACACAAGUCAUAUCUUGUAAUUUCUUCAUAAAUCUGUGUUAAUUACUGUCCAUAUACGUAUGCUGACCCCUUUGCAAUGAAGGCUGACACUAUAGUAGUUUUUGUCUAGCUUCGUCCCUGGCCAUGGCGACUGCGACCACGACCACAACUCCUGUAUUUUUGUAUUUUGGAGUGCCCCACGUUUUGUGUAAAUAGUCUCAAGUUUUCUUUUUGACUAUGUAAAAUAUUACCAAGUUAAUAUCAGAACCACUGUCCUAUACUGAACCAUACUGCCACAUUCAGCGUAUUUGACCUUGGUAGUUUGCUUACCACAUUCAGGCUACAUUUGAUUUCAUUUAAUCUCUAAAGCCUAGCUUAUUUUUGCUUACAACAGCUUCUGUAUAGACUUGAAUAGAUAUUUUUCCGGUCACUUUUUAUACCUGCUUUAAGUACCACAUUUCUUCUGAAAUUGACUGAAAUUAUGAUAUUACUUACAGAAGGGCACGGUGAUGAAUUCAACGCAAUAUCCUGCUAAUAGCAGAUUGAGUACAAUACACGGCAACUUGAUAAUAAUAUUUAUGUUCACUUCAAUAGCUAGGGAUGCGUCAGGUAAUGUGCACGCUUAAGAGGAAAGAGAUGAUGCACAUUACUCCUUUCUGCAAGUAAAGAAAGGAUUUUUUCCCGUAACAAGGAUGGGAAGUAUUUGCCAAAAAAAACAAGGAUGGAAAGUAUAACAGCUUACAAAAACCAACGUGGACAACACAGAUCUGGAACUCGAGUAAAUCAUACUCACAAAUAAGUUUUUGAGAAGAGAGACUUGGAAACCAGAGAAGAGGAGCGAAGAUCAAGACUAGAAUUUGAAAAAAAAAACAUGAUGGCAAAGUUUACAGAAUUGAGCCAACAGAUGGGAACCCAACAGCUGAUUACAUUCAUAUGCUUGCGACCUUGUAAGAUUUAUGUUGCUUAAUUGCAUUGCUAAAAGUGCACUUCUAUUUUCAGGUGCUAACGAAGAGGAUUAACAAAGGAAAUAGUAUCCAAACUUGCAAAAUACUCUUUUACAUAGAUCUACUCCUAAUAAGACUCCAGUUGCAAGGCCAACUAUUAUUUCUUCAAAUGCUCUCAUACAAGUUGCAACGAGGAAUUCUCGAAUGUUUAAAGCAAUGGAUCCAAAGAACUAGCUGGACUGGACUCUAGAUCAUGGACAGUUUAGUUUGGCACUUAAUUAGGAUGGCUAAAUUACAUCUGAGUUUCAUUUGAUGGAUAUUUGCUAUGAGAAUUAUGAAUUUAUGAAUGUACAUAUUAUAUGUAUGGUUUGGAAUAUUGUAAUUGAAUGCCUGUAUUUUUUUACGGUUGCAAUGGGCUAUUACCACAACCAACUUUUGGUUGAAAUAGAGUAUCGCCAUGAAAAGUUGGCAUUGU